AUGUUUAUGUUCUUUUUUACAAAUAUAUGUGCAGUUUGUUGUAAAUCCAUCUAUGGUUCACUUUGUGAAAAAGAGAGAGAAAAUAAAUACAUCGAUAUUGUAGUGCGAUUUUGGUUGCGUGGCGGUGCAUUUUUAGUGGUUAUGCAGUGCCGGGUGCACACACAUGCACUCCGUUUAAACAUCAAUUUUCUUGCGAACACACCUCAAUUGUAUGUCAGUGUGCCCCUUAGUGGUUCACUUUGUAAAAAAAAUCCCCGUGGGAGGUUCACUUCUUUUUCUGAUGCAAUUUGUUUUGUUUGUGGGACGAUUGAAAAAGGUAGUUCAAUCCAUUUGUGUAGCAGAUCAUUACCCCUCUCUAUGAAGUGCAAUUUGUUUCGUGUGUCUCAAAAUUCAGUGGACCACAUCAACACUUGCAGUGUGUUUGAUCCUCGAAUGUGGUUCACUUUUCAGAGUGAUGUUGUUUGCUCGCCGCAACAUGAAAGUGCGAAAAAAUUAAGCGAACCAAUAAGAUAG
This 513-nucleotide ribosomal RNA is filed under the name Triticum aestivum (bread wheat). RNAcentral describes it as "partial small subunit ribosomal RNA". The record is from RNAcentral. Lineage: Eukaryota; Viridiplantae; Streptophyta; Magnoliopsida; Poales; Poaceae.